UCUCGCAGCCAAAUCACCGUUGAACGCGUCCGACAUUGUCAAAUCACAGAAGCUUAGCGGCGGUCGAGCACGAUUCGUGCUUGGACGGGCGACCUCCUGGGAAUUCCAGGUGUUGUAGGCG
Molecule: ribosomal RNA, 121 nt
Filed under: Petromyzon marinus (sea lamprey)
Lineage: Eukaryota; Metazoa; Chordata; Hyperoartia; Petromyzontiformes; Petromyzontidae
Source: RNAcentral